This 297-nucleotide ribosomal RNA is filed under the name Triticum aestivum (bread wheat). RNAcentral's name for it is "partial small subunit ribosomal RNA". The record is from RNAcentral. Lineage: Eukaryota; Viridiplantae; Streptophyta; Magnoliopsida; Poales; Poaceae.
AUGAAAAUUGUAAGUUGGAACUGCCGGGGACUCGGGAACGGCCCGGCGGUUCGCUCUCUUCUCGACCUGGGAAGAGUGGAGGAGCCCGACAUUCUGUUCUUGUGUGAGACUAGGUUGGAGGAGAAGGAGUUGGAUCGUUUUAGAUGGCUUAUAGGGCUCACCCAAAUGUGCUCAUGAAAGGGGGAGGGGAGGAGUAGAGGGGUGGCAAUGUUUUGGAGGAAAGAGGUGGACGUUACGCUGAGAUCGUUCGGGAGAAGGCACAUUGAUGUUGAUGCAAGGAGAGAUGAUGGAUUGGUC